UUCACACUCGGGUAUCUGUCUCACGCUUUUACUUCCGUACUGGUUCCGCUGGAAUUCAGAUCCUUGCGGUAAACCACUGAGAAACCGGUCCUGGAAUGCUGCACCUGACUUUCUGUUUGGAUGUACUAUCUGUCCGGUCAAUCUCCCUGUGCCCUUACACACACACACACACACACACACACACACACACACACAGUGUUUAUCUGUACUCUCUUUUAGCAUCAUUGUUGCUCCGAGAAGAGAACCACUGAUUACUUCAAGCACACUACGGAGUACAGGAAAACCAGUGUAAACAACCUAUCUCCAUAUCCACCGUAUCCCAGCCCCGGUCUGACCUGCAGCCACCCAACCCUGUGCAGCAAGUCAUAACAGAUAGCCCUGCACCCAUGUAUAGACCUGAUACGGUUAUUAUACCACUCAGGCGACUCAGCCUGGGGUCCAAGUGGUCCACAGCGGCGGGACUCAGAUGGUAAUCCAGCCCCUAGGCAGACAAUGGUGGUCGGCGGGGCACACACACCAUAAUCCAGCCUGCUGCUCCACCUACUAUGAUUAUCCAGCGGGCAAAUCCGACUGUUCGAGUCGUCCAGCCGCAGGUUCUGCCUACAGUGAUCCAGCGACCUGCAGCCAAUACCGUGGUUUAUCGCCGUUAUUACUGAAGUCAUGCGAGUGAACCCUUCCAGGACGACACGGACGACGCUCCAGUGAAGACUCCAGCGGGAUUUUACGCCAUGUUGAAAAUUCCUCCCGUAUUCAUUAUCGAGUCCUUAAUCAGAUCGUAAAAUAAGCGCAGAGUUACGCUCGGACAUCAGCUCUCCUCGUCCACUCGGACUCCUCGUCCGUCCUCGCCGAGAUUCUUUUUCUUCUUCCCUUUUGUGUAUCCGUGGUGAUUAGAUUAGUAAAUCCUUAUGUUAUUGGUGUAUUACCACAAACCCUACAGCGCGGUACGAGCCAGGUGUGCACAAACGGUACUCGUGUAAUAAUGUAAUAAAGUAAUGAAGUCAUACGUUUUGAUGAAUAAGGGACAGCAACGAGUACGGCUGUAUAUCAGGUCAGGUAUGAGAUUAAGAUCAUCGCGAUGCGAUUCAUGGUUUCUGGGUAAGGUUUUCUCAUCGAGGUGUCAGCAGCCUUCCAAACGAGGCUUUUGGGGUUUUUUUUUCUUUUCUUUUCUUUAAUGGUAUGAAACGCUCCAGAGUGAGAACGUGCACACUGCAAAGGAGGUGCAUGAUUGUAAGGGGAGGGUGGGUGUGGCGGGGGGGGCAUCCAUUUCCACGGUGUUCAUUAAUCACCUAUCAAUAUAACAUCACAAUAAAAUCUGAUUAAAUCACACUUUCUCCUGUAUCAACACAAGCCUGUUCACUUACUGACUAAAGACGCUCAUAAACCACUUUGUCAAUGUCACACACGGCUUAAGAAAGUGUCAUAAAGUCUAUUAUAAUGCAGUCUAUUAGCACUUUAUAAAUAUGUUUCCUUUUAAAUAAUCAUAGCAGUGUGUCGAACACCUUACGAAUGCACUGUAAACGUGUUACGCAGGUACUUGUGGGUCAUGACAUCUUUGGCCUCUGUAGAAAGUGUUACAUGUGUAUUACAUGUGUAUUUUUUUUUGUUUUCCCAUCGUCUUAACCCUCGUGUUUUAUUUAGACGACGUUUUACUCGCCGUCGGGUGUCGCGGAGACCUCAGUCGCUCGUGUCUGACGUUAUAAUAAACGUUCUAUUGAAUCACGAAUCUUUUUGUUGUUGUUGUUGUUGUUGUUGUCGCUUUUUUCAAUCUAAAUCAUUCAAAUGCAUGUGAGAGGAAAGAGUGAAAUUUACACUCGGUUUGAUACGAAACAUCUUGAAGAAAAAAAGUGCUGAAGUGACCGUAAAGCACAGAUACUACACCGCGUAAGAGAUAUUUCAGGGCGUAAAUGGACUAGACAUGAGUUGUUUUGUUUUGAGCUUCUUUUAGUCUACAAGAAAAGGCACAAAGAUUAUAGACAUUAAUCAAAGAUUUCAUCAUGAUUGAAGAGUCUGGAGUUUCUGCUUGACAUACUCCAAAC
Long non-coding RNA from Ictalurus punctatus (channel catfish), 2036 nucleotides. The record is from Ensembl. NCBI's taxonomy places the organism in Eukaryota, Metazoa, Chordata, Actinopteri, Siluriformes, Ictaluridae.